Molecule: ribosomal RNA, 179 nt
Filed under: uncultured bacterium
Lineage: Bacteria
Description: partial 16S ribosomal RNA
Rfam family: Bacterial small subunit ribosomal RNA
Source: RNAcentral
GAAGCUGGAAUUGCUAGUAAUGGCAGGUCAGCAUACUGCCGUGAAUACGUUCCCGGGCCUUGUACACACCGCCCGUCACACCAUGAGAGUUGGAAAUACCCGAAGCCUGUGAGCUAACUGUAAAGAGGCAGCAGUCGAAGGUAGAGCCAAUGAUUGGGGUGAAGUCGUAACAAGGUAGC